This 1161-nucleotide long non-coding RNA is filed under the name Dasypus novemcinctus (nine-banded armadillo). RNAcentral's name for it is "lncRNA (ENSDNOG00000051564.1)". The record is from RNAcentral. Lineage: Eukaryota; Metazoa; Chordata; Mammalia; Cingulata; Dasypodidae.
CCUGCCUCCCGCGUCCGGGCCCUGCGCCCACCUGCGCGUGGCCUCCCCCGCCCCCCGGUGCCCGCUCGGUGCUGCCUCUGGCCUGGGGGCCCCUGAUCCGCCUCGCGCUCGGCCCUGCGAGGAGUGAGCCUGCGCCGGCCAGGCCAGCAGUCCUCAGCGCUCCCCUUCAGUGUCCUGGCCUCGAGGUCCCCAAGUGACAAUCGAAAGGAUGUCUGCUGUGGGAAUGAAACCUGCCAGUCCAGUUUGCGGAUUCGCUUUUUUGGAAAAGGAAAAUGUGAAACGCCAGAAGAAUGCAUAACUUAAGCCGUCGGGGCUGACUCCAGGGGAUGUGCCCCUCGGACCUGCAACAUUUCAGAGUCGCGGAAAGGCCCUGGCUCUUGCUUCCCUGACGCUGGGUCCUCCUCUACACGCUGCGCCGAGGACGUCUGGACAGGGCUGGAGCCCUGGGAAGAGAGGAACCCUAAGCCUGGAAAGAAGCAAGCCCUGGGGAGAGAGGAGCCCAGGAAGCCUGGACCCUGGCGGACGUCGGCAGCCGUCUUGCUCCAGCACGUGGCAACAGACGUUGGCUAGAGGUGUUUCAAGUGGUGGCGCUUCUGCUGGUCUUUCUACGCCUUCAGUCUCCCGAUGGGUGUCGGCCCAGGCACCACCUGCUGCUGUUUUCACACAGGAACUGCAGUGCCAGAUCCCCACAGCUCGUCUCUUCCUUUCGGUCUUGCCACAGAGGGAGCAAGUAAACUUGGCGUGCUGGCCGACUUCAGUUUUCUUCACCAUUUUCCUAAGGGAGGCGCCAUAACUUGUCCCAUUAUUUACCAACGAUUCUGACCUUCUUGGUGCGUUUUGCCAUAUUUGCCAUGCUCUUAAUUCCCUCUCAAAGCUCCCAAAUAGUCUUCUCAACCCAUUUUCUCUUGUAAAUGGUUGUUGAAGACCUCAAGCGUUGCCCGUGGAAAUUUGGAAACGUCGGUGUUUUAGUUAGCGCCUGUCAUAGGCUGUUAUGAACUUAAAUAGAGUCGAGUAGAUUCUCCUCAGUCUUUUAUUCAUUAUUCCUUUAACAUAACUGUCACUUAAACAAUUUGCUGAUAUUAAUAUCAGUCUUUGUAAACAAAACAAUAGUAAAGGAUUACUUCGCUGUUUCUCGUGUGUUUUACGUGGGAUUCUGAAGUU